RNAcentral lists this transfer RNA (65 nucleotides) under Cucujoidea sp. 8 KM-2017. RNAcentral's name for it is "tRNA-Asp". The record is from RNAcentral. Lineage: Eukaryota; Metazoa; Arthropoda; Insecta; Coleoptera.
AAAAAUUUAGUUAAAAUAUAACAUUAGUUUGUCAAACUAAAAUUAUUAAAAUUUGAUAAUUUUUG